Mastomys coucha (southern multimammate mouse) is the source of this 533-nucleotide long non-coding RNA. RefSeq lists it as uncharacterized. The transcript is spliced from 2 exons. The record is from RefSeq and is a predicted model, not a curated record. NCBI's taxonomy places the organism in Eukaryota, Metazoa, Chordata, Mammalia, Rodentia, Muridae.
GAGUGCUGAAUCUUACAAGCUUUCCAUCCACAUCAGGCUUUCUGACAAGGACAAGGACAUGCCAUUGUCUCUUCUUGUAAGAACUGAUCCAAGUGGGCACAUCAGUCACUGAAACAGGUCUCAGAGAGCCCAGGCUGCCCUCCAAGAGCCCAGGCUGCCCUCCAACUUGCUACAUAGCUGAGAUGCCUUGAAACUCCUGAUGCCGCUGCCUUUGGGCGUCUGCUUCGGUGCGCAGCCCUCCUUAAGGCCUGCGACUACACACUCGCUAUGGAAACCCGCCUGAAGCUUCAGAGACUGGACCUGCUUCCCUCCGGUGAUCUCAUCACUUUCCCCACCAAUCAUCUAUUUAAGAGAAAAGCACACAGCUAAUUUUUUUUAAAUUACAAAAUCAUGAAGAGAGUGGCCCAUCUCCCAUUUUGGAAUUUUGCACAUCAGAUAAUCUACAGGGAACUUGCCAUGCUAGACACUGUGUUGAACUAUUCAGGUCAGUUUGUAUUUAAAAUGGGACUAAUGAAAUCCACAGGGAAAGGUAA